This 945-nucleotide long non-coding RNA is filed under the name Homo sapiens (human). Its description in RNAcentral is "HSALNT0034626". Lineage: Eukaryota; Metazoa; Chordata; Mammalia; Primates; Hominidae. The record is from RNAcentral.
GGUCAUGGAGGCCAAUCCAGACAUUGAAGUCAUCAGUGCCACUCUCCUUAAUCAGUGAGGCCACAAAGGCACCCUCGGCCUGGGUGAGCACAGACACCAGGUCUCACGGUCUUCAUUAAAGUAGUAGCAGUAGGAGCGAUAGGCAUUGGUGCCUUCUGGGCAGCUGAUCCGGGCCUGGGGCAACUCUGUCUGGGCCUCUUGGCCUGAAAAAGAAGAGACAAUUAAAGGAGGCUCUCAGGGUAAGGAAAAGGCUUGAAGGUGAGGUAAGAGCUUCUGAGGUUCCUUUAUAGAAACAGAAGAAUCCAGUCUAUUAUGGGAUGACUGCUCACUAUUGCUCCUGCAUCCUACAUCUUCUGUCUUUGGUUUCUUUGAUCAGGGGAAAAAAAACAGAAUGAAUAGGCCAAAGAAACAAGUCUCCAGUUUCCCUUUUAUGUCUGGAGCUCAGGCUCUUCUACCUUGAAGGACUCAGCCUUCUACUUUCUCAAGCCUGACUUGGUUUCCCUGAACACAAGGCUCUCUUCAGUUCUCCACCCCAUUAGUGACUGUCUACACACAGACAUCCCCAAAUCCACCAUCACGUAUAAAUUUAAUCAGAUAAACUCAUGCCAACUGCAGCAGUUGCUUAUAAGGGGUCAUUUUAAAUUCUAGCUCCAACUCCUUAAUGAGGUGUGGAUGUAUAUAAAUGUGAAGAGAUCAGCAAUAAAGAUCACUAAACACCACAAAACAACCCUUAACAGUGACUCUGCUUUUUUUUUUUUUUUCAAGUAGACCCGUAUGCUUGGGGAUAGAGUGAAGUCUUCAGGGCUAGAAAGAGUUGGUUGGUGGAAAAGAGAUCUUACCUUGGCUCUGAGACAGAAACAUCAGGCAGGAGAUCAGCAUGAAGUAUGAGCUGGUCUGAGCCAUGCUGAGCUGCAAUGAAUCUCUUGCUUAAGAGGCAAAUCAACA